GAUAAACGCUGGCGGCGCACAUAAGACAUGCAAGUCGAACGAACUUAAGCCUUAGUUUACUAUGGUAGCGGUUAGUGGCGGACUGGUGAGUAACACGUAAGCAACCUGCCUAUCAGAGGGGAACAACAGUUAGAAAUGACUGCUAAUACCGCAUAUACCUAAGUAUCGCAUGAUACAAUAGGGAAAGGAGCAAUCCGCUGAUAGAUGGGCUUGCGUCUGAUUAGCUAGUUGGUGGGGUAAAGGCCUACCAAGGCGACGAUCAGUAGCCGGACUGAGAGGUUGAACGGCCACAUUGGGACUGAGAUACGGCCCAG
This 314-nucleotide ribosomal RNA is filed under the name uncultured bacterium. RNAcentral describes it as "bacterial SSU rRNA". It matches the Rfam family "Bacterial small subunit ribosomal RNA", at positions 28 to 334 of the family's 1533-position model. The record is from RNAcentral.